Molecule: ribosomal RNA, 401 nt
Filed under: uncultured bacterium
Lineage: Bacteria
Description: bacterial SSU rRNA
Rfam family: Bacterial small subunit ribosomal RNA
Source: RNAcentral
CUGGAUUUGACAUCCUCUGACAUCCGUAGAGAUACGGCUUCUUACGCAAGUAAGCAGAGAGACAGGUGCUGCAUGGCUGUCGUCAGCUCGUGUGGUGACAUGUCGGGUUAAGUCCCGCAACGAGCGCAACCCUUGUCCUUAGUUGCCAGCAUUCAGUUGGGCACUCUAAGGAGACUGCCGUGGUGAACACGGAGGAAGGUGGGGAUGACGUCAAGUCCUCAUGGCCUUUAUAUCCAGGGCGACACACGUGAUACAAUGGACGGUACAGAGGGAAGCCAAAGCGCAAGCUGGAGCCAAUCUCAAAAAGCCGUUCUCAGUUCGGAUUGGAGUCUGCAACUCGACUCCAUGAAGUUGGAAUCGCUAGUAAUCGCGGAUCAGCACGCCGCGGUGAAUACGUUCCC